UUUCUCAUUUCUCUCUCCCAAAUUGCUUUGUCUCAUUUCUCUCUCCCGAAUUGUUAUCUCCCCCUUCUUUGUUCCUUCUUUCCAUUUUUUUCAUUCUUCCCGUUUUUUUGUAUUUUCUUACAUCUAAAGCUGUGAUUUUUUACACCAAAAUUGUUAUUUUUAUCUUAGAUUCCAUGACAACGAUAUCAUAUUUGCGUUCCUCUCCAAGUUUGUAUUUCUAUUUGACCGUGACUAACUAUUGUUCUUCCUUUGCAACACAAAAGCUUCAAUUUUUUUGUGUUUUCUGUUUUUUGUGUUAUAAUGACUUUUCGCAGGACAAGAGGUUAAAUUUUUUGGUGUUUCUGAGCCUUCUCCGACGUACCCAAAGGCUGGAGCUUUUUUGCUGGGUUUGCUAGUUCUUUGCUUGAUUUGAUCGAAAAAUGAUUUAUGGGUUCUUUUCUCUCCUAUCUUUCUACGUUUUCUUUUUUCAUUUGAUUUAUUUGACUGUGACUGACUAUUGUUCUUCCUUUGCAACACAAAAGCUUCAAUUUUUUUGCGUCUUAUGUCUUUGUUUUGUGUUAUAAUGACUUUUCGCAGGACAAAAGGUUAAAUUUUUUGGUGUUCCUGAGCCUUCUCCGACGUACCCAAAGGCUGAAGCUUUUUUGCUGGGUUUGGCAGUUCUUUGCUUGAUUUGGCCUAAAAAUUAUUUAUGGGUUUUUUUCUCUCCUAUCUUUCUACGUUUUCUUUUUUCAUUUGGUUUAUUUGAUGGUGGCUGAGUAUUGUUCUUCCUUUGCAAGACAAAAGCUUCAAUUUUUUUGUGUCUUCUGUCUUUGUUUUGUGUUAUAAUGACUUUUCACAAGACAAGGUUAAAUUUUUUUGUGUUCUUGAACCUUCUCCGACAUAAAGUUGUCACCGAGAGCAAAUAGUGUUCGGCAUUUGAAGGACAGUCUUAUUGAGUCUUAUUUGACUGUGGUUAACCUACUCUUCUUCCUUUGCAAGACAAAAGCCAUAGAUCAUAGUAUGUUGGAUAAAUUACAGGGGAAAGCUUCGUUUUUUUCUUUACUCAGAUGAACAUAGUUCGAUUGCCGAUGUUCUGCCUUAAUAGCACAAUAUUGAAAAAUAUGGAUCUUUGUGUUGCAUUCGCUACCUAUUUUUAUCUUUUUUUGUGUUGCAUGUUUGAGUUCCUUUCUUUAUCAUGUUCAUUUUUGUAUUACUUGAAAAAAAUGACGUUUAUUACUAUGAUUAACUUUGAGGUUCACGAGUGAUCUUCAGUCUUCUCUAAUGUUCCCGUUCUUAUUAUGGCAACGUAUUGUACAAAAUCCCUAUGUAGAUAUUCUUGGCAUUUGUACUUAUACCGGUUAAAAAUAAAAUAGAAAUUACUUUUAA
Long non-coding RNA from Glycine soja, 1365 nucleotides. RefSeq lists it as uncharacterized. The record is from RefSeq and is a predicted model, not a curated record. Lineage: Eukaryota; Viridiplantae; Streptophyta; Magnoliopsida; Fabales; Fabaceae. The transcript is spliced from 3 exons.